GCUGCGCACUUCGGUCUUUUACGUCGGCCUUCGCGAGCGUCUGGGCGGGUGGUAGGAACAAUGGCGCUGUCUUCAGUGGCACAGUGGAGCAGCUCUGAAGAUGCAAAGUGAGGGUCGCUGUCUGCCCAUUGAUAGAGGCCAGAUUGUCUUGGAAGUUCCAAAGUUGCAACGAUUUCUGGCUAGUGCCACGAGGUUUACUUGACUGUUGUGUGAAAAGCUGAUAAGAAAACCAUCCAGAAAAAAGCUCUUCGUUUUACAAACAUGAAAAUAAAACAUUUAGUUGAAUCCAUGGACAUGAAACCCACAGAUAUAGAGGGUUGGCCCGGUGCAGUGGCUCACGCCUGUAAUCCCAGCACUUUGGGAGGCCAAGGCGGGUGGAUCACCUGAGGUCAGAAGCUUGAGACCAGCCUGGCCAACAUGGUAAAACCCCAUCUCUACUAAUAAUACAAAACAAUUUGCUGGGCAUGGUGGUGCACGCUUGUAAUCCAAGCUACUCCAGAGGCUGAGGCAGAAGAAUCGCUUGAAUCCGAGAGGCAAAGGUUGCAGUGAGCCCAGAUCACACCACUGCUCUCCAACCUGGGCAACAAGAGCAAAACUCCGUCAAAAAAAAAA
Molecule: long non-coding RNA, 612 nt
Filed under: Homo sapiens (human)
Lineage: Eukaryota; Metazoa; Chordata; Mammalia; Primates; Hominidae
Description: HSALNT0335472
Source: RNAcentral